Molecule: RNase P RNA, 338 nt
Filed under: Clostridiales bacterium
Lineage: Bacteria; Bacillati; Bacillota; Clostridia; Eubacteriales
Description: RNase P RNA component class A
Rfam family: Bacterial RNase P class A
About the family: Ribonuclease P (RNase P) is a ubiquitous endoribonuclease, found in archaea, bacteria and eukarya as well as chloroplasts and mitochondria.
Source: RNAcentral
CGACUUCAUUGUAUGAUUGCGGCGUUUUACGCUGAGGAAAGUCCGAGCAUCAAAGAGCAGGAUAGUUGAUAACGUCAACCGAGGGCGACCUUAGGGCUAGUGCAACAGAGAUAUACCGCCUUUUUAAAAGGUAAGGGUGGAAAGGUGAGGUAAGAGCUUACCAGAGUUUAGGUGACUAAACUGCUAUGUAAACCCUAUCCGAUGCAACACCGUUUUGGUUCAAGGAGAAAACCGUCUGCUCGAUGGUCCUUGUAUAGGUGGCUGGAGCAAUGUGGCGACAUAUUGCCAAGAUAGAUAAUCGUACACGACAGAACUCGGCUUAUAGAUGAAGUCGCUUU